AAAGUCGUAACAAGGUUUCCGUAGGUGAACCUGCGGAAGGAUCAUUAACACUUAACUCGAACCUUUAAAAACUCAACCCCCUUUUUUAAAACAAAAACAACUUAACCCUAUUUUAACACCUAACGACAUAACUACUUGACUAAAUUUAGAUUGAUCCUCCAAUUUAAACAAUUGACUCUUCAAUGAAAAUUGGAUUGAGACUUGUUUACAGUUGAAUUCAAUCGACCAAUUCAUUGUAAAACGUGAAUUGUUUUGUAACUAAACUUACAACUCUUAACAAUGGAUAUCUUGGUUCUC
RNAcentral lists this unclassified non-coding RNA (297 nucleotides) under Basidiomycota sp. RNAcentral's name for it is "partial contains small subunit ribosomal RNA, internal transcribed spacer 1, and 5.8S ribosomal RNA". The stretch from base 1 to 47 matches the Rfam family "Eukaryotic small subunit ribosomal RNA", at positions 1785 to 1831 of the family's 1831-position model. The record is from RNAcentral. Lineage: Eukaryota; Fungi; Basidiomycota.